UUUGUUUUUUAAUUAAAAACUAGAAUGAAAGGUUAUACAUUCAAAUUUCUUUAUUAAUUUUUAAUAAAUAAUUUAUAUUAAAUAUAAAAAUAUAUUUAUAAAAAAAAAAGACGACAAGACCCUAUUAAAUUUUACUUAUAGUUUAGCUGGGGAAGCUUUUCAAUUAAAAUUUUUUAAAAUCUUAAAAUAAAUAUCUAAUUAAAAUUAAAAUUUAAAUAAAUUACUAUAGGGAUAACAGCAUUAUAUUUUUUAAAAGUUCAUAUUAAAAAAAAAUGAUUGUGACCUCGAUGUUGAAUUAUAUUUUCUAUAUUUAAUGCAAUAAUUAUAAAAGUAGAUCUGUUCGAUCUUUAAAAUAUUACAUGAUUUGAGUUCAAACCGGUGUAAACCAGGUUGGUUUCUAUCUUUUUAUAUAUUUUUCCAGUACGAAAGGACAAAAAAAUUUUUAUUUUAAUAAAUUAGCAAAUAAAUGCAUUAGAUUUAGAAUCUAAAUAUAUUUAAAUU
This 501-nucleotide unclassified non-coding RNA is filed under the name Anelosimus studiosus. RNAcentral's name for it is "partial contains 16S ribosomal RNA and tRNA-Leu (trnL)". The stretch from base 110 to 402 matches the Rfam family "Archaeal large subunit ribosomal RNA", at positions 2156 to 2711 of the family's 2987-position model. Lineage: Eukaryota; Metazoa; Arthropoda; Arachnida; Araneae; Theridiidae. The record is from RNAcentral.